UCCUACGGGUGGCUGCAGCAAGGAAUAUUGGGCAAUGGCCGCAAGGCUGACCCAGCGACGCCGCGUGGGGGAUGACGGCUUUCGGGUUGUAAACCCCUUUUCCCAAGGACGAAGAUGACGGUACUGGGGAAGAAGCCCCGGCUAACUACGUGCCAGCAGCCGCGGUAAUACGUAGGGGGCGAGCGUUGUCCGGAAUUACUGGGCGUAAAGCGCACGUAGGUGGCGCGUCAAGAUGGGCGUGAAGUCCCCGGGCUUACCUCGGGGGGGUCGUCCGUGACUGGCGGGCUAGGGUGUGGGAGAGGCAGGUGGAAUUCCCGGUGGAGCGGUGAAAUGCGUAGAGAUCGGGAGGAACACCAGUGGCGAAGGCGACCUGCUGGGCCACUACCGACACUGAGGUGCGAAAGCGUGGGGAGCGAACCGGAUUAGAUACCCGGGUAGUCCACGCCCUAAACGAUGGGUACUAGGCGUGGGGGGUAUCGACCCCCUCCGUGCCGGAGCUAACGCGCGAAGUACCCCGCCUGGGGAGUACGGCCGCAAGGUUG
RNAcentral lists this ribosomal RNA (542 nucleotides) under uncultured bacterium. Its description in RNAcentral is "bacterial SSU rRNA". It matches the Rfam family "Bacterial small subunit ribosomal RNA", at positions 337 to 896 of the family's 1533-position model. The record is from RNAcentral.